ACGAAGCAUAGAGUCUAGACAAUGGGAGGGACUUGGGGGCGGGAAGUGACGCCCCCUGCUCAACCCGGGUGACCGGGAGGAACCUGGGUCAAGGGAGUGAGGGGUUAAUAGAAACGAGACCCAAUCGUCAAGCCAGGGAGUGGGCGUUUUAAUACAUUAAGGGUGGUGGGGAAGCGACCAGGUGGGCUUGUCUGGGAGAACCUGGAGCAGUGGGAAGGUCUACAGAACUGGAAGCCGGCACCCUCACCUGGGGUACCCCUGUACCCCACCCUGUACUCCUCCCUGUACUCCUCCCUGAGUCCGGGCCAUAUGGUCCUUGAGAGUGAGGCUGUCAGUCUUUGUUGUUUCUGAGGGGGUAUAGUGGAGUGGAGGGGGAGUCUCUCUUUGAGCCCAGGUUGGCCUCAAACUCUCAAAUCUUCCAAGUAUGGUGUUAAAGGCCUGCCCCACCAUGCCUGCCUGUCUCAUGUUAUGGAUUCCCUAAACAUAUCGAGUUGCAUCUUGAUUUAGGGGAGAGAGACGGAUUAUCUAAAGUCCAGGAUGAGGGAUGAUGUCACCGGGAAGGUCGUGUGAGCCCCAACCUGAGCAAGGCAAAGGAGAGUGGGUGCCUGCUGGAACAGCACUCUGGGAAGAGGGCUCAGCAUGUGCAAAGCACGUAGGAUAUUCGACCCACCAGAGGAGCUGGAAUGCAAGGUGUGGGAGCUGGCGCGGCUG
This 711-nucleotide long non-coding RNA is filed under the name Rattus norvegicus (Norway rat). RNAcentral describes it as "long non-coding RNA NONRATT025496". Lineage: Eukaryota; Metazoa; Chordata; Mammalia; Rodentia; Muridae. The record is from RNAcentral.